This 85-nucleotide transfer RNA is filed under the name Deinococcota bacterium. RNAcentral's name for it is "tRNA-Leu". It matches the Rfam family "tRNA". Rfam says of the family: Transfer RNA (tRNA) molecules are approximately 80 nucleotides in length. Their secondary structure includes four short double-helical elements and three loops (D, anti-codon, and T loops). RNAcentral also lists the same sequence under 1 other name. The record is from RNAcentral. Lineage: Bacteria; Thermotogati; Deinococcota.
GCGAGGAUGGCGGAACUGGUAGACGCGCCAGACUUAGGAUCUGGUCCCUUCGGGGGUGUGGGUUCAAGUCCCAUUCCUCGCACCA